Long non-coding RNA from Etheostoma cragini (Arkansas darter), 262 nucleotides. RefSeq lists it as uncharacterized. The record is from RefSeq and is a predicted model, not a curated record. The transcript is spliced from 3 exons. Lineage: Eukaryota; Metazoa; Chordata; Actinopteri; Perciformes; Percidae.
UGCAUUUCUUUCGUCCCCCUGCAUUUCUCCCUUAACUCCCGUUCCCUGCUUUUCUGUCCUAUCACAAUGGGUGGUGGUGGGUGUGGGUGUGGGGGGGGUGGUAACUAUGUGUCUCUUCUGUGGAGUAUUACUGUGCCACAGCCCACUGAUUAUUUGUCAUGAUUUACAAACGCUGUGUUUCAAAGUUACAUUUAUAUGCUUUGCAAUAUUUGACCUGCUUCUAUUUUGUUAAAUAAAGUGUGGUUGAGGUUGAGUAAAAAAA